CGUGCGUGGAGCGAGACGUGUCGCACGUUGGCGGGGGUCAGUGAUCGAGAGCACCAUGCUGCUUUGUUUAUGCGCGCCGUGGGAUUUAAAGACGGGAUUUAAAACGGUGACGGAUGGCUGACGGAGAGACAAUAAACAAAGGAACUAUUUUCGAAGGGGAACCAGAUGGGCGUAGGCCCUUCCUUCCUUCUCUCCACGGAAAUAACAGCAAUUUCCCCCGGACAGGAAAUAAAUCAGAGAUAAACGCAAAAGUUAGCAGAUAUAUGCACGCGCGCGAAACGCGCGUAUCGUUCGCCAGGGCGGCAUAAUUCGGGAUGAUUGAUUAGAAUUAUAGCGAGUGGAAUCUCGAUCAGCACGCGCAAUAAAAUCACGCCCCGGAUCAAUCGACGCGCUAUCGGACGCACGAUCGACGGGGUCAGUGAUCGAGCGAAUGCUUUGUUUACGUCGAUCGAGGGAGGGACGACGCGCCGUAUACUUCUUCCCGCGACAAAUAAUCCCCUUCCCCAAAUUCCACUUUGACUUACAACGCUUAAUCUCCGCUCGAGAAAACGCGGCGACUACGCUCACGAGAAUGAUAAUGACGUGACUCAUUUCUCGCCGAGUCGACUUAUUUUGUCGUAGCGUCCGAGAUAAGAGGAACGCUGAUGUUUUUCUUAUAGCGAGGUGACAAACGGAAAACGAGCUCGCGCGGGUUCUAAUGAAUUCUGAACGGCUAUUUCUCCUUUAUCAUCCAGCAGCACGACCUUCGAGCUGCUCGACACAUCGGGUAGCAGUAUAUAUAAUGCGUAGUUCUGUGGAACAAAGCGACCGCUGGACGCCCGCAUGGAACGCGCGAUUAAUAUUCAAUAUUAUCGCUAAACACGAUCUGCAUUUGCGUCGUCCAUAUUAAUUUCGAAUGAGUCAGAGCUCUUUAUCUAUAAUUACAUUUUUAAAAAAGGCCAAAUUUGGCGUUGGACAACGUUAUAAAUCGAAUAAACGUCGUUUUGUAGAAUUAAGUCGACGAAAAAUUGAAGGCUCGCGUCAGGCACUAAAUAAAAUUGCCCGUCGUGAUGAAAUGCGCAUAUCAUACGUAUCAACGACGUAUAGCUGAACGUAAUCUCGUACUUACACUCUCUCGUAUAUCCGAUGCUCGUACGGGCGCCGAAUUUUCCGCAAAUUUUCCUGCGUGGGCCUGCGGUCAGCGGCGAUUUACAUCACUUAUACGCGAUCGGGUCGUCCGCGUAUGAGACGAGUGCUCGAACUAUGGGGACGCGUCGCAUCUGCUGCACCAGAUGCACCGUACAGAAUUACGAAGGCCCGACCAAUCGCGCGAGGCUCGCGAGGCACGCCGAGCGGGGCACGCCGAGAUGCACAGCUGAGCCUUGGGCAUCGGGAGAACUGCGCUCCUCGGCGAAACAGACACGGACGCGAUGAAGAAAAUUUCAUCAAGAUCCUUCAUUCCUAAAUUUAUGACGUUGCUUAAAGAAACGAAAAAAAAAUUAUAGUGGGUAGGAGAAAUAUGGAAUUUUUCGCCUUUGUACGGAAAACUCGCAAGGUCGCGAGGUAAAUUUGCAUAAAUUGCUUCAUCGCGCUCGACUCGGCAAUGCUGAGGGUACGAGAAAUAAUGUUAACUUCACCAAAUACCUUCAUUUUUUUUUUUUUUAUUAAUUCACUUCGGUAUUUUAGCUGAUUUAUAUCGCAUAUUCGCAUGUAAUUAUCUUCCUAAAUUCACGAAUGCGCAAAGCCAAAACUGUAUAUUUCAAAAAAUUUUUUACUCUACGAUUUCUCGCACACUGCGUCAUGACAAGAGCAGGACGCAUUCGUCUAGAAUGUCUAGGUUUCGCCGUAUGGCUGUACAAAUAAUUAUAUGCGAAUAUCGCUUAAUUCUCGUGUACAUUCGCUGUGAUUGUUAUGUAAGGAUUCGAUGGAAAAACAAUUCAUUCGCGCGUACCGCAAAUCUUCGGAAAGCUCAACUAUUUCGCAACGCGUUCCUUUUCGCAAACGCCACCCUCGAUGCAUACAAAAAUAACGCUCA
Long non-coding RNA from Monomorium pharaonis (pharaoh ant), 2014 nucleotides. RefSeq lists it as uncharacterized. NCBI's taxonomy places the organism in Eukaryota, Metazoa, Arthropoda, Insecta, Hymenoptera, Formicidae. The record is from RefSeq and is a predicted model, not a curated record. The transcript has 2 exons.